GGCUUCGCUGCUCAGAUGGUAGAGCAUUUACCACUUUUGGGCAUGUUGUUUCUGUCGCUGGUUCGAAUCCAGCCGAAGUCC
This 81-nucleotide transfer RNA is filed under the name Paragonimus skrjabini miyazakii. RNAcentral's name for it is "Paragonimus miyazakii tRNA-Lys". It matches the Rfam family "tRNA". Rfam says of the family: Transfer RNA (tRNA) molecules are approximately 80 nucleotides in length. Their secondary structure includes four short double-helical elements and three loops (D, anti-codon, and T loops). The record is from RNAcentral. Lineage: Eukaryota; Metazoa; Platyhelminthes; Trematoda; Plagiorchiida; Troglotrematidae.